This 157-nucleotide microRNA precursor is filed under the name Pelobates cultripes (western spadefoot toad). Lineage: Eukaryota; Metazoa; Chordata; Amphibia; Anura; Pelobatidae. The record is from RNAcentral.
GCAGACACAUUCCAGCCAAUCAACAGCAGACGCUCCCUCCCAGACCCUCCCACCUCCUGGACAGCUCACUAAGAAUGCAGCUUCAAAAUGGAUGCUGUCCAGGAGGUGGGAGGGUCUGGGAGGGAGGGUCUAAUGCUGAUUGGCUGGAAUGUGUCUG